GCCCUAGUAGCUUAGCCCCUAAAGCGCCGGUUUUGUAAUCCGGAGAUCGAAGGUUAAAAUCCUUCCUAGUGCC
The sequence is a transfer RNA, 73 nucleotides long. It matches the Rfam family "tRNA". Rfam says of the family: Transfer RNA (tRNA) molecules are approximately 80 nucleotides in length. Their secondary structure includes four short double-helical elements and three loops (D, anti-codon, and T loops).